This is a non-coding RNA of Helianthus annuus (common sunflower), 112 nucleotides long. Lineage: Eukaryota; Viridiplantae; Streptophyta; Magnoliopsida; Asterales; Asteraceae. The record is from Rfam.
GCUUUCGAGCUUAGUUGGCUGUGGAGCACAUGAAAACUCCACAAUUAAGCGUGCUUAGAUGAGAGUAAUACCAGGAUGGGUGACCUUCUGGGAAGUCUCCACAUGGGCAACC